Non-coding RNA from Biomphalaria pfeifferi, 423 nucleotides. The record is from the annotation of a GenBank genome assembly. NCBI's taxonomy places the organism in Eukaryota, Metazoa, Mollusca, Gastropoda, Planorbidae.
UUUACCGUGUAAUACAUUUCCAACACACUUAACGUUAUAAUGUAUUAAUAUUAAUAGUAUUAUGCUAUAUCCGUACACGUGCUUCAUGUGAGCGUCGGUCCAUUAAGGGCCCUGUAUGCUAAGUGAUUUACAAACUAUGUUAUUUUUUCACUACAAAGCGAGUCUCCGUGCUACUUUCAGAUGUUUAUUUUUAUCUAAACACUAUUGUGGACUUAUGGGGUGUAUCUGUAAGAAGGUUUCCAUGCUUUCAGUGGGCAUUCGGCAAGCUACACACAACUCGAGUAAAGUUUUCCAACUGUUAUUUUCUAGCUAGCUAGCCAAGCGGUUAAUGUUAUCCAACCAGAAGCAUCAUAACUCACUAUUCUGUAGGCACCCAAGGGAAACAACAGAACUGAAAAAAGAACAAUCACUUGUAUUUUAAAG